RNAcentral lists this ribosomal RNA (441 nucleotides) under uncultured bacterium. RNAcentral's name for it is "bacterial SSU rRNA". It matches the Rfam family "Bacterial small subunit ribosomal RNA", at positions 335 to 794 of the family's 1533-position model. The record is from RNAcentral.
ACUCCUACGGGAGGCAGCAGUGGGGAAUCUUAGACAAUGGGCGCAAGCCUGAUCUAGCCAUGCCGCGUGAGUGAUGAAGGUCUUAGGAUCGUAAAGCUCUUUCGCUGGGGAAGAUAAUGACGGUACCCAGUAAAGAAACCCCGGCUAACUCCGUGCCAGCAGCCGCGGUAAUACGGAGGGGGUUAGCGUUGUUCGGAAUUACUGGGCGUAAAGCGCACGUAGGCGGAUCGGAAAGUUGGGGGUGAAAUCCCGGGGCUCAACCUCGAACUGCCUUCAAAACUAUCGGUCUAGAGUUCGAGAGAGGUGAGUGGAAUUGCGAGUGUAGAGGUGAAAUUCGUAGAUAUUCGCAGGAACACCAGUGGCGAAGGCGGCUCACUGGCUCGAUACUGACGCUGAGGUGCGAAAGUGUGGGGAGCAAACAGGAUUAGAUACCCUGGUAGA